Molecule: long non-coding RNA, 7156 nt
Filed under: Aquilegia coerulea
Lineage: Eukaryota; Viridiplantae; Streptophyta; Magnoliopsida; Ranunculales; Ranunculaceae
Description: long non-coding RNA (ACOE_LNC002069)
Source: RNAcentral
AGAGCAUUGUUGGGUUUGAGGUGAGUUCCAGGGCCAUGUCAACUUGCGCAAAUGUUUAUUAGAAUAUCUUAAACAUUAAGUUCGAAUGAAAAGAACAAAUACACUCGUAUAAUCUCGAUCUUUCUUAUCUUGUGCAGACUUCUGAUACUCAUAAGCAGAUGAUUGAAAUUUUGGUGAGUACCAGUUUCAUCACGCGGGAAUUCAUUUUGACUCCAUUACAGUUUGGUGUACCAUGUUCUAGACCGCAUUAUUUUUGCCUGGUAAUUCUUUUAUCUGUCUCUCUUGUACAUUGUUACAUAACUUUUAGGUAGUGUUUCUUUCAUUAAGCAUUAAGCAUUAAGUGCUUCUUAAGUAGUGGACCAGGUUAAAAUUCAGAAAUAAGUGUUUUUUAAGUUGUUUGUUUAGAACAAGCAUUAAGAACUAAUUGGGAUAUUUCAGCGAUUUUAGACAAUUCUACCCUUAUAAAAAUUGUUUUUAUCAUCUAUAACCAUUAAGUAAUAUCACAGUCAGAUUCAUUGGCUUAGUUAAUGGCCUUUCCUUUGUCUGAUCACUUUGAAUUUUACCAUAAGUUCCUGAAGAUUUCUGUUAUAUCAUAUCUAAAAUUUAGAAUUUUUAGACGAUCGGUUUGAAAGUUACAGAUUUUUUUGUGGUUGUUAUGUUUUACAAGAAAAAUUACGUUACAGUCAGAUUCGUUUGCUUAAUAAGGGGACUUUCUUUUGUCUGAUCACUUUAAAAGUUUUACUAUAUGUUCCUGACGAUUUCUAUUGUAUCAUAUCCAAAAUUUAGAAUUUUUAAACGAGUCGUUUGAAAGUUACAGAUUUUUUUGUGAUUGUCAUGUUUUAGAAGAAAAAUUACAGUCAGAUUCGUUUGCUUAGUAAGGGAUCUUUCCUUUGUCUAUUCACUUUGAAAUAUUUUCCAUAUGUUCAUGACGAUUUCUGUUGUACCAUAUCCAAAAUUUAGAAUUUUUAGACGAGCCGUUUAAAAGGUUAAGAUUUGUUUUUUAAAUAUCAUGUUUUAGAAGAAAAAUUGGCGUGUAUAGUUUUGUUGUUAGAACAUUUUUCUGUUUGUACGACGUAACAAUAUAGUGUAGUUACACAAAUAUUUUGGCUAAGGGUGAAACAUUCUCAUCUGAAGCACAACACUGAAUGGUCAACUUGCGCAACCAGAGUGCAAAUCAACUUUAGGUUUUUGGGUUAUGUGAUAAGGUACUGUGUAUUGUCAAAAUACUUUUCCAAUAAUAGGGUAACAUGGUCAAAAUCACAGUUAUGCAUAAACAAACAAAUCAAAAACAGAACUUCUUAAAAAUGAUAACCAAACAACUUUUCCAGCAUUCAGUGUUCAGCAUCCAGCAUUAAGUAUCCAGCAUUAAGCAUCCAGCAUUCAGUAUCCAGCAUUCAGCAUUUUAAACAAACACACCCUUAGUAUUCAUGUAAUUCUAAAUUUUUAUUAAGACAUUUUGAGUUACAUUUAGGGCAUUUUCUGUUUCCGGUUGGAUUUAGUUCCUUAGCCUUGACCUCUCUAUCAACCACUUACCCAUAAAUAUAUUUGCAUCAGAUGUCAGUUUCUGAAGAUCGGAUGUAAGUCUCACAUUAACAUCGGAAGCUCUUUUAUCCCGAUCAUAUUUUCUCAUGUGACUUAUUACAUUCGAUUAUCUGUCUUAAACUGAACUUGUCUGGCUUCAGUUCAUUCUAUCUAUAUGGUUUUUAGUUCUGUAUCAACUACAACUUUAUCAUUAUUCUGUGAUUUUACUGAGUCGAACCAUGUAAUGCUGAAAACAUCUUGAACCUUUGUUUGAAUAGUAGUCCACCUAUUAAAAGUUGGGUCCAAAGAUAGCAUGUGGCACUGCUGCAAAUAGAGAGCAAAUGCAAGAUCUCUUUGACGAAACGAUGUAAAACUAAGUAGCUCAGCUAUCUUCAUUAGAACUGGAUGUUGCUCGCUUAUGUUGUUUGUAUUAUUUUUCGAUUUAUCUUGACCAUACUGAUAGUGAGCUUUACUUUGUUUUUGCUAAACAUGUAAAUUUCAUUGAUAAAAAAGAACCAAUUACAACCAUACUUAUCACAUAUUAGUAAACCUGCAGUACAUAGAAUCUGGAGAUUCCAGCCUAUUAAGCCAUUGAGGCCUUCCCUCCCAGGAAGCCAAUGUGCCAUCUUGAAGACUAGCUCCUUUCUUAGCUGAAAUGUCAGCUGCAAAAUUAGCUUCCCUCCAUGUAUGGCAGAUCUUCAGUUCUUUCUUUUUCUGUCUCACCUUUUUCCAUCUAACUGUGAGUUGCCAAGGGACUUCAUUCUUCUGUAAAGCUUGAACCGUUGCUUUGCUGUCAGACUCCAACAGAAGACAAUCCCAUCCUCUUUCCAACCCCAUUUCAAUGCUUUCAAUGGCUCCUUGAAUCUCAGCCAUGUAAUUUGUUACAAUACCCAGACCCUUGCAGACUGUAAGAACAACUGAGUUCUGUGCAUUCCUGAAAACAGCUCCUCAACCUGCCUUACCUGGGUUACCACGGGAUGCUUCAUCAACAUUAAUCUUCAACAUGUGUGGUUCAGGGAGGAUCCAAGAACACUGCUGAAUAUUAGGAGCUGGUGGAGGCCUAAGGGGAAUCUGCCAUUCCCUUGUGAUCAUCAGCUCAUCCAAAUUGUUAUGGCAUGUAAGCUUUGAGAGUCUAGCUGUUAGCUUUACCUGUUCUUUAAUGUAUGUCUCACAAAACUUCAAGUUCAGCUCACUCUCUUCAUGCACCACCUUGUUUCUUAACUUCCAAAUUGCCACCAUAACUGACCACACUGCAGUGUUCCAUAUAGUCUUGAUCUGGUUGCUCAUAUGGUUCAGCUUUCUCAACGCUUCUUCAACACAUAUAAAGUCAUUCCGAAUACCAAACUUUGCACAAACCCAACUCCACAACUGUUUUACCACCUCACAAUGCCAGAAUAGGUGAUCACUAUUCUCCACAGCUGAAUGACAAAGAGGGCACCUAGAGGCCAGAGGAAUGCCUCUUUUCAAGAUGUUGUCCAUAGUUACAAUAGCGUUAAGGUGAAUCUUCCAUGUUGUUGCAGACUGUCUUGGGUGCAUGUAUUUGCUCCAAACCGAGCCACUCCAUCCCACAACUGAAUGUUUUUUUCUGAUUUCCUCAAAAGCUGACUUAGUGCUGAACUUCCCAUGAGGGUCUGGAGUCCAAACAACUGAAUCAGAUUCUGAAGAAUUAGGAGACUGUCUAUGAUCCACUUGAAGUUGAGCUUUUUCAAGAAUCCAUUGAAGUUGAACCGGAAUGCUCCAUUCUUGACCGUGCACAACUGAACUGACCUUAGAAGAGAAGCCAUGGAUUUGAGUUGUGAGCUGAAGUCUUUGCUGAACUGAUUCUCCUAACCAGUUAUCCCUCCAAAGGUCCACUGACUUCCCAUCACCUACAAUCCAUCUAACCCUUGACUUAAUUUCUUGGAUGGCCCACUUAAGUCCAGGCCAUAUUGUGGAGUGCUUAUAGUAUUUAAUGAGUUCUCCAUUCUUGUCAAGAUACUUGUGUCUAAGAUAAUUCACAAAGUACCCUUUCCCAGAAAUGAAAUUCCUAGCUUGUUUAAGUAACAUGGCUUUGUUAAUCUCUCCCAACCUUCUGAUAUUUAAACCCCCUUCCUUGUAGGGUUUGCAAACCUUCUCCCAAGCAACUGUGAUACCUUUUAUCUUUGUGGGGUUGCCUGUCCACAAGAAAUUCCUCAACAAAGCUUCAGCUUCCUUCACAAUACUGCUUGGCCAUUUAUAAACUCCCAUAUUGUAAAUUGGAAUACUAGAGAGCACUGAUCUGAUCAUAGUGAUCCUCCCUUGAAAGGAUAGCAAUCUUCCACCCCAACUUGUAAUACUGCUUGGCCAUUUAUAAACUCCCAUAUUGUAAAUUGGAAUACUAGAGAGCACUGAUCUGAUCAUAGUGAUCCUCCCUUGAAAGGAUAGCAAUCUUCCACCCCAACUUGUAAUCACUGACUUUAUCUUGUCAACAAUAAUACUGGUUGCCCUUCUAAUGACUCUCCCUUGCAAGAUGGGCACCCCCAGAUAAGUAUCCGGAAAAGUACCAAUAGGCAUUUGAAGGCAUUCCUGAAUUCUGAGUUGUCUGGCUGCAUUAACUCCUCCUAAAAAGAUUUUACUCUUCACCACACUAACAGUCUGUCCUGAAGCUCUUUGGUAAACUAGAAGCAACAUCUUGAGGUUCUUGACUGCUUUAAUGUUUGCAUUGAGGAAGAUGAACAAAUCAUCGGCAAACAUUAAGUGACUAGGACUAGGAUGUCCAUUGUGACAAGACAUAGGCUGAAUAAGAUUCCUCUCUCUGUACUGAUGAAGACUUUUACUGAGAGUGUCUUGUACAAUUGCGAAGAGAAGAGGAGAAAGAGGGUCUCCCUGCCUGAGACCUCUCCCCAUAUUGAAGAAGCCACAUGGGCUCCCAUUAACUAAGAUCGACAAUUUAGUAGUUUUAUUCAGGAUCUCCACCCAUUUUAUCCAUUUGUUGCUAAAUCCUUUUCUCACCAAAACUUCAUGUAAGAAAGUCCAGCUGACUGUAUCAUAGGCUUGAGUAAUAUCAAUCUUCAACCCCAUGUUACCACCAAAACCUUUUCUCCUCAUAUCAUUGGCUAGCUCUGAAGCCAUACCAAUAUUAGAUUGAAUAUCUCGACCAGGAAUAAAACCAGUUUGCUCCUCUGAGAUGAAAUUUGAGAUGAUGGAAUUCAACCUUAACUGUAAGAGCUUGGACAUAAUUUUAAUCACAAAAUUGCUCAUGCAGAUAGGUCUUAGAUGAGACAUUCUCUUAACAUUCUGCUGCUUAGGAAUAAGAGCGAUAUGACAAGAAUUCAUACCUCUUGGCAGGAUGUUUUGAGUGAAGAAAGAUUGAACAGCUCUGCAGGUGUCACUCUCCACAAUCUUCCAGUGCUUCUGAUAGAACAUGCCCUGGAACCCAUCAGGACUUGGUGAACUGUCCUCAUUCAUAGAAAAAACAGUAUCCUUAAUUUCUCUCCAAGAAGGAAUCAUAUCAAGCAUUUCACAGUCUUCAAUUGACAAAUCCUUGGAUAUCAGUUCCAACAUUCCUGCAUCCAUGUCCACUGGUCUCUCUUUGUAUCUUUCCUCAAAAAACUGAACAACAUAGCUUUGAAUGUCUUCCUGCUCAGUUAAGAGAACACCUUCUUCAGUUUCUAACACUGUUAUGAUGCUCUUACAUUGUUUGAAAGCAUAAAGAGAGUGGAAGUAGGAAGUGUUCCUAUCACCACAAACCCAAUACUUCUCCCUGCUUUUCUGCUUGUACAUCACUGAUUUAUCAUGGAGAAUGCCUUCCAAUAACUCUUCUUUCUCUUGAGCUAAUUUUGACUGUAGCUCAUCCUCUAUAUUGUUAUCUGACAGCAUUUGUAGAGCCUGUAAUUCUGUUUCUACCUUUCUUUGCUUCACUUCAACAUGCCCAUAUACAUCCCAGUUCCAGUCUUUCAAAACCUCUUUCAACCUCUUCAACUUCAUAGCUAUCUUCCAUAAGUGAGGAGCCCUCAAAUCUUGCUUCCAACUAUGCUCUACAGUAGUAUACAAAUUCUCAUGAUCCAACCACAUUUUGUUGAAUUUAAAUGGGCAAUUCACAGGUUUGGGGAUGCUAACUUGUGACCCUAGAAGAGGCCCAUGAUCAGAAGUUUGCCUGGUUUCGACCUUGUACCUCCACCCAGGAAGAGCAUUACACCAAGAUAAGUUAGUAAAGCAUUGAUAGUGAGCUUUACUCCCAUCCAAUUUUUUUUUGGCAAAACUAAGCUCAUGCCCGCGCCCAACCUGGAUUAUUAUGGUGGGCCUAUGACAUGUCCAUUGCUAACAAAAUGAGCGGCUAAGUCAGUCCAAAAGAUCCAAUAUGAACCAAUAGAUUGGCUCAUUUUGUAAAGAAGAUUUUCCAUAUUUAAAACUUAUAUUGUUAUAGUUGCACUUCUCAUUCUAGAAAAAUCAUUCCUAUAUUUGGAAUACUAGGUAUUAUAGAUUGAUUAGAUUCUGUUGAAUCCUAUAGACUUUGAGGCUCUUUUUUGUAACGUUUAUGUAUCAUUGCCAGUUUUUAAUGAAAUCUUGCAUACUAUAUAUAUAUAUCAACAAUUUCAAAAUGAUAUGAAAUUGGCAUAGGCCUAUGUAACAGCUCCACUCAAGUCCAGCCUGCUUAUGUGCUCAGGAGCAUAAAAAAACUCAUUCAGAAAACAAGAAAAGCUGUAUGAGUUUUAUCUGAGAUGGAUGGACCUGUGGUCCCUUUUUCUAGAACUUAAUGGGCUAGGUUUUCGGUACCGUCUGCAGUCUACCAUUGAAGAGGGUGGAACACAAAUUCACCAUUUCUGCUUUCCUUAAAAUCUCCUGGGAGAUGAUGUAUAAUAAAUAUAUACAAAUGAUUUUGUAAGGGAGUUGUCGUAAGAAUCCAUUGGACUUUUUUCCUUAUGAGUUAAGUAAUUAUUGUUGGAGAAAAAAGAGAGGACAGACCUUUAUGUUCUCAUUUGUUGUACAAGUCUCUGUCGUAUUCUGUUGUGUGUAUAAGAUUUAUGAACUAGUCCAUUAGAAGCUAUAACCACUUAAAUUGGCAUGCCAUGAACGUGAGCAUGUCAAAAGUGACAGCUUACUGAUUUUUCCUUUUGCCAUAUCAAAUUACCCUGGUCAGUCGCUGUAAGUUUAUAUUGUAAUUGACCCACGGUUUAUCUAAAGUUUUAAUUGUUUUAUUCGAGGUGGUUGCUAGAUCAUAUUGUUUUGUUGGUUCAGUUUUCUGUAGCAAACAACAAUGCAUCAUUUUCUUAUUCUGUGGAUGUUCUAAGAUAUAGAAGAUUCUUGUUCCCCAACAAGGUGGUUACACCAACAAAAGCCAUUGUCAAAUAAAUAGUAGUACACUAUCAAACUCUGUUAUUGCUUUUCAAAUAGUUUUUUGGCUUUCCUUUGUGUGCAUUAGUGGAUGUAUAUGACUACAUAUUAGUUCUUUGGCUUUCCUUUGGUUUUUUUGAUAAUCAUGAAUUCAUGUUGCUAUAUUAUCUUAUAUUCUUGGAAACUAUUGCAGGUCUAUUUACUAAAACCUGGAAACUCUGCUCAAAAGUUCAAUGGAUGAGGACACUUAUUGCUUAGUCUAUUAGUUGAGUCUCAUAUUACAUUUGCAUGAGCAUAAGCACGAUAUCUUUUUGCAGUGACGACAAAGCCUUGAGCACUUGCA